RNAcentral lists this long non-coding RNA (1143 nucleotides) under Zalophus californianus (California sea lion). RNAcentral's name for it is "lncRNA (ENSZCAG00015018073.1)". The record is from RNAcentral. Lineage: Eukaryota; Metazoa; Chordata; Mammalia; Carnivora; Otariidae.
AUGGAAAGGAAGGGAAGGGAAAGGAAAGGAAGAGAAGGGAAAGGAAAGGAAGUGAAGGAAUGGAAAGGAAGGGAAGGGAAAGGAAAGGAAGGGAAAGGAAAGGAAAGGAAGGGAAGGGAAAGGAAAGGAAGGGAAAGGAAAGGAAAGGAAGGGAAGGGAAAGGAAAGGAAGGGAAAGGAAAGGAAAGGAAGGGAAAGGAAAGGAAAGGAAGGGAAGGGAAGGAAUGGAAAGGAAGGGAAGGGAAAGGAAAGGAAGAGAAGGGAAAGGAAAGGAAAGGAAGGGAAGGGAAGGAAGGGAAGGAAUGGAAAGGAAGGGAAGGGAAAGGAAAGGAAGGGAAGGGAAGGGAAGGAAUGGAAAGGAAGGGAAGGGAAAGGAAAGGAAGAGAAGGGAAAGGAAAGGAAGAGAAGGGAAAGGAAAGGAAGGGAAGGAAUGGAAAGGAAGGGAAGGGAAAGGAAAGGAAAGGAAGGGAAGGGAAGGGAAGGAAUGGAAAGGAAGGGAAGGGAAAGGAAAGGAAGAGAAGGGAAAGGAAAGGAAGAGAAGGGAAAGGAAGGGAAGGGAAAAGAAGAGAAAGGUAAGGGAAAGGAAAGGAAGGGAAGGGAGGGAAACAAAGAAAGGGAAGGGAAAGGAAAGGAAGAGAAGAGAAGGGAAAAGAAAAAAAAGGAAGGGAAGGGAAAGGAAAAAGGAAAGGAAAGGAAGGGAAAGGAAAGGAAGAGAAGGGAAAGAAAAGGAAGAGAAGGGAAAGGAAAGGAAAAGAAGGGAAAGGAAAGGAAGAGAAGGGAAAGGAAAGGAAGGGAAGGAAUGGAAAGGAAGGGAAGGGAAAGGAAAGGAAGGGAAGGGAAGGGAAGGGAAGGGAAGGAAUGGACAGGAAGGGAAGGGAAAGGAAAGGAAGAGAAGGGAAAGGAAGAGAAAGGUAAGGGAAAGGAAAGGAAGGGAAGGGAGGGAAACAAAGAGAAAGGGAAGGGAAAGAAAAGGAAAGGAAGGGAAAGGAAAAAGGAAAGGAAAGGAAGAGAAAGGAAAGGAAAGGAAGGGAAGAAAGGGAAGGAGGAAGGAAGAAAAGGAAAGGAAGGAGAGGGAGGAAAGAAAGUCAGGAUGAACGCAGAGUGGGAAGGAAGGAGAGAAGGGGAGGAGGGAGGAAGAACAUAA